AAAGCGUGCGCAGGCGGUUAUGCAAGACAGAGGUGAAAUCCCCGGGCUCAACCUGGGAACUGCCUUUGUGACUGCAUAGCUAGAGUACGGUAGAGGGGGAUGGAAUUCCGCGUGUAGCAGUGAAAUGCGUAGAUAUGCGGAGGAACACCGAUGGCGAAGGCAAUCCCCUGGACCUGUACUGACGCUCAUGCACGAAAGCGUGGGGAGCAAACAGGAUUAGAUACCCCAGU
RNAcentral lists this ribosomal RNA (230 nucleotides) under uncultured bacterium. RNAcentral describes it as "partial 16S ribosomal RNA". It matches the Rfam family "Bacterial small subunit ribosomal RNA", at positions 562 to 791 of the family's 1533-position model. The record is from RNAcentral.